GGUGACCGGGGGCUCGUCGCCGUCAGCCACGAGGCUGUCGGAGGAAAGUCCGGGCAACACAGAGCGGCGAACUCUCGAAAGGAGAGCCGGCGGUAACGUCGGAGAAGUGUGACAGAGAACGACCGCCGAUACCAUCGGUAAGGGUGAAAAGGUGGGGUAAGAGCCCACCGGGCGCCACAGCGAUAUGGCGUGCCGCACACCUUUCGCGUUGCAAGGUCAAAUAAACCGGCUUCGGGGCUGCUCGUCCUUAGCCGGCGGGUAGACUGCACAGAUAAAUGACGGGCAAUGCUCGGCAACUCCGUAAGGAUAGUGCCGACAUUACAUAACCCGGCUUAUACCCGAUCACCGUCU
This 351-nucleotide RNase P RNA is filed under the name Muribaculaceae bacterium. RNAcentral's name for it is "RNase P RNA component class A". It matches the Rfam family "Bacterial RNase P class A". From Rfam's summary of the family: Ribonuclease P (RNase P) is a ubiquitous endoribonuclease, found in archaea, bacteria and eukarya as well as chloroplasts and mitochondria. Its best characterised activity is the generation of mature 5'-ends of tRNAs by cleaving the 5'-leader elements of precursor-tRNAs. The record is from RNAcentral. Lineage: Bacteria; Pseudomonadati; Bacteroidota; Bacteroidia; Bacteroidales; Muribaculaceae.